Unclassified non-coding RNA from Sorex araneus (European shrew), 312 nucleotides. Its record names the gene 7SK. It matches the Rfam family "7SK RNA". Rfam says of the family: 7SK was discovered as an abundant small nuclear RNA in the mid-70s but a possible function has only recently been suggested. Two independent studies have found that 7SK RNA binds the CDK9/cyclin T complex (known as elongation factor P-TEFb). P-TEFb activates transcription by phosphorylating the C-terminal domain of RNA polymerase II. NCBI's taxonomy places the organism in Eukaryota, Metazoa, Chordata, Mammalia, Eulipotyphla, Soricidae. The record is from Ensembl.
GGAUGUAAGGGCGAUCUAUUGAUCACCAGGGUUGAUUAAGCUGAUUUGGGUGCUAGGCGAGUGUCCCUCUUCCCUCACCACUCCAGGUUCUUCUCUCCAGAAGCUGCGUGCUAGGUUGAAGAGGAUGAAGACGACGGCCUUUCCGGAGUAGGGACCCACAGGAACGGGUCUUUGGUAGAGGGCAUAUGAGUAGCUGUGCCCACACCCCCCAACUAGAACCUCCAAACAAGCUCUCAAGAAAUAUGGAUUUCCAUACAUAUGAUCCCUAGAAAUAUUUGAAAACUUACUCAUGUGUCCCUCAUAUAUUUUAUA